This is a long non-coding RNA of Cavia porcellus (domestic guinea pig), 5574 nucleotides long. RefSeq lists it as uncharacterized. The transcript has 2 exons. NCBI's taxonomy places the organism in Eukaryota, Metazoa, Chordata, Mammalia, Rodentia, Caviidae. The record is from RefSeq and is a predicted model, not a curated record.
GCCAUGUAAUCUACUUGGUAAAUCCAGCAAUUUUUGAGUUGGCCAGAGAGGAGGCGAAGAAGGAGCCUGUCCAAAGGUCUAACUGUGCCAUCCUGAUGGAGCUGGGCAGCAGCAUUUGGGGGAUACCCGUUGAGGUUUGGUCUGGGCUUUCCGGGGUUCCCACAUGGCCCCCACCCCAUCUCCUUCCACUGCAAGUACAAUCAAUCAUAGCCUGGCGUCUUCCAAGCUUUACAGGGGUAGGAGGGGUCCUUCAGCUAAGUAGGGCUGAUCGCAUUCCAUAGCUUCAUGAAUGCUACAGAGGAGCUGUCUGCUCUGUACUCAGAGAGCAAACCUAGGCAAGAGGAGGGAGGCCACGGGAACCGACCAGUCUCUGAAAGAUGCAGGAUUGGAAUUUGGGGCUGGCUGCCUCCUGGUCAGAACUGGUCCUGGGACGGUCACAAGAGGAGACUCGUGAUAUAUCCCAGAGCCCAGCCCUCACCGUGGUUGUCCCUGUGGCCUUGUGACCAGUGACCACAUGCUCUGGUUUUCUUUAUGGAUAGUCACAGAUGUUUAGUUACAGAGUUAAGGCCACCGCCAGGGCCAGUGUAGCACCUCCCCUGUGACUGGAUGACAUCAAAGCCGCAAAUGGUUUCCCCUGGGAGACAGAACUGGUGAGAAGAUUCGGUGGUGACAUGAGGAAGCUCCCUGACCAGGAACAGGCUUUUGUCAUUAGGUCAAAUUCAUGAGCAACUUGAUCCCCGGGGCACAUGAUUUCCACAGAUUGUCUCUGCAGGGCACUGGAAACAUGAUUCUAAGCCGUAGCAACCCCAGUGGCAAGACUUGGGGGACACCAGACAGCCCAGGACAGAGGCCCAGGAGCUGAGGGUACAAGAAAACCAGAGUGAGAAGGAGAGGCCGAGGCCAGGCCCCAAGCUUUGGAACUGCAGAGGGGUUCAGGUCCCAACUGCUCCUCCUCCUCGUGUGAGACCUGUGCGUCCACUGUCAUCUCCCCAUUCUUAUCUGGGAAAUGGGACUGACUGAGGGGCUUCCUAGAGUCGACGCAGGGAUUUGAUAGUGAUAUGAUUUAAUGACUUUACGUCGUGCCUAGCAAGGUGGUCUGCAUCAGAUUAGACAUUGUCUCUAGCGAUACAGAGAGAAAGUAAGAGUUACUCAGAAGCCAGCAUGUGCCCAGCCCUGGGCCAAAUCUUCUGCACAUGGCAUUUCAUGUUGUCCUUGAAAUGACCCAUUUGAAAGAUGAGAGAACUGAGCCUGGGCUGGGAAUAAAGUGAUGCUAAGAGACCAGGACUAAAGCCAGAUGUGUCCAGCCUCCUGCGACACAGCAGGGUCCCUGGGAUGUGGUUGAGGCAGCAGUGGAAGGAGGCGCAAGUCUGUAGUGAGGCCAGGAAGUAGAUCCUCCAGUCUGGAGACCAGCAGGGAGGCUCUGUGCAGCCAGCGAGGAGUCACAAGUCUCCAUCGAGUGGGGAACAGACGCUGUACAGUGGAUCCUCAGCUAACCAAGUCAGAUAGUCUGGGGAUGAGUCCCAGACCUGACAUGCUCGGGGACUGACCUGGGACAACCUGUCACCUCUCAGGGCCUCGGGUGGCUGACACUGGCAACAAGGACCGUGCUGGGCAGCACUGUCGUGGUGGUGGCAUAAGCAAGGGAACCAAGCUGGGGCGGGUGGGCUCCCUGGAUGCAGACCUGUAGACUGAGACCCGUGAGCAGCACGAGGGGUCCUCGGGGUGCCAUGGGCGUCCCUUCAGGCUCUAAACUCGCAGGGAGAGAAAAAGAAGUAGAAUUAACAGAGAGAGAAGCUGGGAUGUGGCCUGGGUGCACCAGGGACCCCAGCUGGUCCCUCAGGGGCUGAGAUGGUUCUAGUCCCCUGCCUAGAGAUUGGGAGCCAGGGCAGUGGUUGCCAGAAGGGGGCUUGAGCCCUGCAUCUGAGGGCAGCUGCUGUGAGCAGGGGGCUGGAGCUCUUGCCCUCCACACCCCGCACUAACUAGAGAGCUAUUUGAGGCCGCAUCACCUCACCCAGCGAAGAGCCCCUCGAUCCUUGGUUGGGCACAAGUGCAUCAGUUGCACUUUCCUCUGCCUGGAGCCUACAGUUGAGUCACCGAGGGCAGGUGGGUGGAAGGGGCUGUGUCCAGGUGAGCAGGCAGGCAGGUGGGGGCAGAAGGAGCACCCUGCCAUGUUUGAAGGGAUGAGGUCUUAGGGGAGCACCUUGCAUGGUGAUGGCAGUGCAAGGGCUAUGCCCCCCCUCCAGUGUCACAACUGGCAGCGACCAGACGCAUGAGGUGGGAGGAUGGAGGAGAAACAACCCCAGCCUCGCCUGUCACCCCACAGGGCUGUGCCUUCCAGCCGGGCGCUCGACCCUGGAAAAAAUUGACUGUGUUUCCGCCUGACUGGUUGAGAGUUACAGGCUGCGGGCUGGGGAGGAGGGGCAGGGUGGCGGGCAGCUGCCUCCUCAUCAGGAUGGAUUUUUCUGCUUCUCUGCUUGUAGGAAGAGCAGGAACAGGCUACGGGAGGCUGCUCAAGGAUCGCUGUUCAGGCGAGGGCAUGUCAAGGGCUGGCUUUGUGAUGGAGGACGGGAGGGAGUGGGGAGAGACGGGUGAGAGGCCGUGGGCAGGCGAAGGCCUCCAGCUGCAGGGCACCCAGAGCCUGCGGCAUGAGAAAGGGUUUGCCUCCCCUUCAUCUUCCCCUUUUCUCUUUCUUUUCCUUCCUCCCUCUCUCCUUCCUUCCCUCCUGCUUAUCCACCCAUCAUCCACGUGUUCACCCACCAGCAGCCCCUUCCUUCCAUCCUCUCAUCCAUCCACCUACCCAUCUUUAACUGAUUCACCCACACACUCCCAUCCCAUCCUUUCCUGACACCCAAGGCAGUCAUUUCUUGGGGAUCUGCCUGAGUCAGGCAUGGCACUGGACCCUGCUGAUGACCAAGUCCAGAUCCUGCUCUCCUGGAACCUGCAGUCCUGAGGGACGUGAUGGCUCCGCAGAAAGAACUCAUUGUCCUCUCUCUGGGUGGCUCAACAUUCUUGGGGAGCAUCAUGGUGUGUGGCAAAGUUGGAGACACUUGGUGGUGGCGGGGAGCAAAGGGACAGCUCUGGGAACAGGCACCUGCAGGGACAGAGACAUGGAGAGCUGCGGGUCUGAGGCUGGCUAGGAAUGCAUUUGGCCUAAGGCUGGGUGCGAGUCUCUUCGAGGCCAAGGUGUGGACACUUAAUGGAACCAGGGAAGUGGGAUUGGUCUGGACCUUCCGGGGCCUUGAACAUCAACUCCAAGACUUUGGACUCUUCUCUGGAUUGAAUGGGGUUUUCUUUUUAUUUAUUUGUAUAUGUCUGGACCACACGGUGUCUAUAGUCACCUUUGAGGGUGGUUAUGUAUACCUCGAUUCUUUUUAUCCCCUUUCCCACUCCCUCCCUUCCUCCGUCUCUAGAGCCCCUUUUCUAUUAUUAUCUUAGUGCUGUUAUCAUUAUUUCCAGUUCAUGUUUGUGACACACAAAGAUUCCAUUCGCGGAGAGUCACGUACGUGACGCAUCUUGGGUCUUUUUAUAUCCCCUUCCCUUCCUCCUCCUCCCACCCUCAGACUCGGUCCCUGCCCAUCCUAAGUGGCGUUUUCUUAUUCAAGCAAUAGGAACCACUUUUCAUAUCAAGUUAUAUAUAGAACUCCAAAGUGCAAUGAAAUACAGCAGAGGAGCUGACGCAGAGGCGCAUUCCAGAACAUUGUGUGCCGAAGUCUUCUCACAUCUUCCCCCCACUGUGAUGUAGCUGGAAACACGGGCACAGCACCUCAGGCUCCCAGAAAACCCACCCUGAAAAUGAAGGGAGGUUAUAAAAGAGUUCUCUUUUGGAGAGACCCAUCCGCAGCAGGUCCCAACUCUUGCAGGACAAAGAAUCAGAGUGCUUGUGGAGGAGUAAAAGUGGCUUUUACUACAAAUUAGAGUGAUAGCUUUGAUUCCAGAAUGUCCUGCCCCGUCUCCAGGGCUUUGCCAGGCCACCAUCAGUUCCAUCUGAACCACAUGCAUGCCUGUGAUUCCCUAGCGUGGGCUGACUCAGCUCACCCUCGUCCUAGUCCUUCCCAGCAUCUGCAUCGGCCUCCUCCUCUCUGGAGUGCCAGCCUGCAGCCCACUGCACCAGGGCCUCCCUCCCCUGCCACCCUCCUUCCAGCGGGGAGUCUUCCCUGUUUCUGAGUCUGACCCUGAGAGCUGAGAUCCAGCCCCAGUCAGUCCACAGUGGAAUUUGUCCCGAGCCAUCCUACCAAGCCUUGUGGACCCUCCAGUUCAUGGAUGUCCAUCCUCAUUCUCUGGAUUCAGCAGGUUCGCAUGUGUGGAGAUCAGAGUAGAGGCAGGUAGGACUGUGGAGCAGAAACCAGAGCAUGAACCCCAGCACACAGCAGGUGCUCAGAGCAUGUUGACAGCAAGACAGCAACAACUACAUCGGAGUCUCCAGGAGGUGCCUAAGAAGGGACGCGGAGCUGGGUUUGGGAGGUGGUGGCUGAGGACAGUCUGAAGCGGUCUCCUGAGCCUCAGGACACACUGCUGCCAGGCUGCUUUGGCCGGCAUGCCGAAGAAGGUGGUGCAGGACAAUAUGUGUGCACAGCCUCUGAAUAUGCACCCUCGUUCCCACUGUUUACAUCAUUAAUUUGCACGGCCCCAUUUGCAUGUGCUCUUCCAACUCAUACUUUUUACGAUGCAAUUACUACUCAGAGAUGAAUCUUUUAUGAGUUUCUUUUUAAUGUCUCCAGGGUCCUGUAUUCUUGAGGAAAUCUUGUGGAGGACAGCUAAUUUCUCUUAGAGGGAGGAUUUCAAGCCCAGGCGUCCUCCAGGGCUCCACCUGCAGGGCUCCUCUUCCAGGGCUGAGCCGUGCUGUCUAGUUCAUCUUUGAAGAGGAGCAGGAGGAGGCGGGCAGGGGCCCAAGGAAGCGACUCACACAGGGAGAGGUCACCGCAGCCCAGAUGUGGGUGUGGCCUUGGCGUUUCCCAGUUCUCUAGACUCUGGGGUGGAAGAUGUUUUGUGCCAUUCCCCAGAGGGUAGCAUUUGAGGUCCAGACAGAGGAGGGAUGGAUCUGAGUCCCACGGACCCUCACGGUGCCCAGAAGAGUCGGUGCCUUUUCCUCUGCUUGCAUCACUGUGACACCCCCCCCUUCAUUCCUCCUGUGCCAGGUCAAAUGGCCCAUUUUCAGAGAAUUUUUCUCUGGAUGCCCAAGAAAGCCUGAAUUUCCCAUUCAAAAUACUCUCCCAACUUCUUGCAAUGACCUUUUCUUUCUUCCCAUAAUUGAUAUUUUAUUUUUUCUCUCUCUCCCUCUGCAUCUUCUCUCUCUCUCUCUCUCUCUCUCUCUCUCUCUCUCUCUCUCUCUCUUUCUCUCCCAAUCAUAUGUAUGCCUAUUUUUUCUUAUUAUCAUUUUCACAGGUAAUAUUUGUACAUAUUUAUGAUAUACAACAUGAUAUCUUGAGAUAACAUGAAAUCAAGCUAGUGGAUUUAUGUAAUACUUCAAUAGGAAUCACUUAUUUGUAGUGAAAACACUUGAAUCUAUUCUCUUAGCAAUUUACAAGAAUAAGAUACACUGUUAUUAACUACAGUCUGAAAAAUAAAUCUUUUGAA